RNAcentral lists this ribosomal RNA (253 nucleotides) under uncultured bacterium. RNAcentral's name for it is "partial 16S ribosomal RNA". It matches the Rfam family "Bacterial small subunit ribosomal RNA", at positions 524 to 776 of the family's 1533-position model. The record is from RNAcentral.
UACGUAGGGUGCGAGCGUUGUCCGGAAUUACUGGGCGUAAAGAGCUCGUAGGUGGUUUGUCGCGUUGUCCGUGAAAACUCACAACUCAAUUGUGGGCGUGCGGGCGAUACGGGCAGACUGGAGUACUGCAGGGGAGACUGGAAUUCCUGGUGUAGCGGUGGAAUGCGCAGAUAUCAGGAGGAACACCGGUGGCGAAGGCGGGUCUCUGGGCAGUAACUGACGCUGAGGAGCGAAGGCGUGGGGAGCGAACAGG